UCCGUUAUGGUGUAGUGGCUAGCAUCGGCCGCUCUCACGGGCCAGACCGGGGUUCAAUUCCCCGUAACGGAA
This 72-nucleotide transfer RNA is filed under the name Pyronema omphalodes CBS 100304. Its description in RNAcentral is "tRNA-Glu". It matches the Rfam family "tRNA". Rfam says of the family: Transfer RNA (tRNA) molecules are approximately 80 nucleotides in length. Their secondary structure includes four short double-helical elements and three loops (D, anti-codon, and T loops). Further hydrogen bonds mediate the characteristic L-shaped molecular structure. tRNAs have two regions of fundamental functional importance: the anti-codon, which is responsible for specific mRNA codon recognition, and the 3' end, to which the tRNAs corresponding amino acid is attached (by aminoacyl-tRNA synthetases). tRNAs cope with the degeneracy of the genetic code in two manners: having more than one tRNA (with a specific anti-codon) for a particular amino acid; and 'wobble' base-pairing, i.e. permitting non-standard base-pairing at the 3rd anti-codon position. The record is from RNAcentral. Lineage: Eukaryota; Fungi; Ascomycota; Pezizomycetes; Pezizales; Pyronemataceae.